RNAcentral lists this ribosomal RNA (427 nucleotides) under uncultured bacterium. RNAcentral's name for it is "bacterial SSU rRNA". It matches the Rfam family "Bacterial small subunit ribosomal RNA", at positions 349 to 793 of the family's 1533-position model. The record is from RNAcentral.
CAGCAGUGGGGAAUAUUGCACAAUGGGCGCAAGCCUGAUGCAGCAACGCCGCGUGAACGAAGAAGGCUUUCGGGUCGUAAAGUUCUUUCUUAGGGAAGAAAGAUGACGGUACCUAAGGAAUAAAGCACCGGCUAAAUACGUGCCAGCAGCCGCGGUAAUACGUAUGGUGCAAGCGUUAUCCGGAAUCACUGGGCGUAAAGGGUACGUAGGCGGUGAUGCAAGUCAGAAGUGAAAGGCUACGGCUCAACCGUAGUAAGCUUUUGAAACUGCAUGACUAGAGUUCAGGAGAGGUAAGUGGAAUUCCUAGUGUAGAGGUGAAAUUCGUAGAUAUUAGGAGGAACACCAGUGGCGAAGGCGACUUACUGGACUGAUACUGACGCUGAGGUACGAAAGCGUGGGGAGCGAACAGGAUUAGAUACCCUGGUAG